GAUGAACGCUGACAGAAUGCUUAACACAUGCAAGUCGACUGUGGCGGACGGGUGAGUAACGCGUAAAGAACUUGCCUCACAGCUAGGGACAACAUUUUGAAACGAAUGCUAAUACCUGAUACUGUGAGAGCGCUUUGCGUCCCAUUAGCUAGUUGGAGAGGUAACGGCUCACCAAGGCGAUGAUGGGUAGCCGGCCUGAGAGGGUGAUCGGCCACAAGGGGACUGAGACACGGCCAUUAGUGCUACGUGAGGCAGCAGUGGGGAAUAGUGGACAAUGGACCAAAGUCUGAUCCAGCAAUUCUGUGUGCACGAUGAAGUUUUCGGAAUGUAAAGUGGUUUCAGUUGGGAAGCGGUACCAACAGAAGAAGUGACGGCUAAAUACGUGCCAGCAGCCGCGGUAAUAC
RNAcentral lists this ribosomal RNA (404 nucleotides) under uncultured bacterium. Its description in RNAcentral is "partial 16S ribosomal RNA". It matches the Rfam family "Bacterial small subunit ribosomal RNA", at positions 28 to 526 of the family's 1533-position model. The record is from RNAcentral.